AGCAGUCGCCGCGGGAAUACGAAGGGGGCUAGCGUUGCUCGGAAUGACUGGGCGUAAAGGGCGCGUAGGCGGUUUUGACAGUCAGAUGUGAAAUUCCUGGGCUUAACCUGGGGGCUGCAUUUGAGACGUCAAGACUAGAGUGUGAGAGAGGGUUGUGGAAUUCCCAGUGUAGAGGUGAAAUUCGUAGAUAUUGGGAAGAACACCGGUGGCGAAGGCGGCAACCUGGCUCAUUACUGACGCUGAGGCGCGAAAGCGUGGGGAGCAAACAGGAUUAGAUACCCCCGUAGUCCCUGUCUCUUAUAC
RNAcentral lists this ribosomal RNA (303 nucleotides) under uncultured bacterium. RNAcentral describes it as "partial 16S ribosomal RNA". It matches the Rfam family "Bacterial small subunit ribosomal RNA", at positions 507 to 807 of the family's 1533-position model. The record is from RNAcentral.